This 219-nucleotide ribosomal RNA is filed under the name uncultured bacterium. RNAcentral's name for it is "partial 16S ribosomal RNA". It matches the Rfam family "Bacterial small subunit ribosomal RNA", at positions 524 to 741 of the family's 1533-position model. The record is from RNAcentral.
UACGUAGGUGGCAAGCGUUGUCCGGAUUUACUGGGCGUAAAGAGCGCGCAGGCGGUCAGCCAAAGUCGAAUGUGAAAGCCCCCGGCUCAACUGGGGAGGGUCAUUCGAUACUGGCCGACUCGAAGGCAGGAGAGGGAAGCGGAAUUCCCGGUGUAGUGGUGAAAUGCGCAGAUAUCAGGAAGAACACCCGUGGCGAAGGCGGCUCUCUGGGACGGUACU